GGGGAAUUUUCCGCAAUGGGCGAAAGCCUGACGGAGCAAUCUCGCGUGAGGGAUGACGGCCUAUGGGUUGUAAACCUCUUUUUUCAGGGAGGAAUCAAAUGACGUGUACCUGAAGAAUAAGCAUCGGCUAACUCCGCGCCAGCAGCCGCGGUAAGACGGAGGAUGCAAGUGUUAUCCGGAAUCACUGGGCGUAAAGCGUCUGUAGGUGGUUUAGUAAGUCAACUGUUAAAUCUUGAGCUUAACUUCAAAACCGCAGUCGAAACUGCUAGACUAGAGUAUAGUAGGGGUAAAGGGAAUUUCCAGUGGAGCGGUGAAAUGCGUAGAGAUUGGAAAGAACACCGAUGGCGAAGGCACUCUACUGGGCUAUUACUGACACUCAGAGACGAAAGCUAGGGUAGCAAAUGGGAUUAGAUACCCCAGUAGUC
This 425-nucleotide ribosomal RNA is filed under the name uncultured cyanobacterium. RNAcentral's name for it is "bacterial SSU rRNA". It matches the Rfam family "Bacterial small subunit ribosomal RNA", at positions 356 to 795 of the family's 1533-position model. Lineage: Bacteria; Bacillati; Cyanobacteriota. The record is from RNAcentral.